GACGAACGCUGGCGGCGUGCUUAACACAUGCAAGUCGAACGGAAAGGCCCUGCUUUUGUGGGGUGCUCGAGUGGCGAACGGGUGGGUAACACGUGAGUAACCUGCCCUUGACUUUGGGAUAACUUCAGGAAACUGGGGCUAAUACCGGAUAGGAGCUCCUGCUGCAUGGUGGGGGUUGGAAAGUUUCGGCGGUUGGGGAUGGACUCGCGGCUUAUCAGCUUGUUGGUGGGGUAGUGGCUUACCAAGGCUUUGACGGGUAGCCGGCCUGAGAGGGUGACCGGCCACAUUGGGACUGAGAUACGGACCAGACUCCUACGGGAGGCAGCAGUGGGGAAUAUUGCACAAUGGGCGGAAGCCUGAUGCAGCAACGCCGCGUGCGGGAUGACGGCCUUCGGGUUGUAAACCGCUUUCGCCUGUGACGAAGCGUGAGUGACGGUAAUGGGUAAAGAAGCACCGGCUAACUACGUG
Molecule: ribosomal RNA, 468 nt
Filed under: uncultured bacterium
Lineage: Bacteria
Description: partial 16S ribosomal RNA
Rfam family: Bacterial small subunit ribosomal RNA
Source: RNAcentral